AGCGAACGCUGGCGGCAGGCCUAACACAUGCAAGUCGAACGAACCUUUCGGGGUUAGUGGCGGACGGGUGAGUAACACGUGGGAACGUGCCUUUAGGUUCGGAAUAACUCAGGGAAACUUGUGCUAAUACCGAAUGUGCCCUUCGGGGGAAAGAUUUAUCGUCUUUAGAGCGGCCCGCGUCUGAUUAGCUAGUUGGUUGAGGUAAUGGCUCAUCAAGGCGACGAUCAGUAGCUGGUCUGAGAGGAUGAUCAGCCACAUUGGGACUGAGACACGGCCCAAACUCCUACGGGAGGCAGCAGUGGGGAAUCUUGCGAAAUGGGCGAAAGGCUGACGCAGCCAUGCCGCGUGAAUGAUGAAGGUCUUAGGAUUGUAAAAUUCUUUCACCGGGGACGAUAAUGACGGUACCCGGAGAAGAAGCCCCGGCUAACUUCGUG
RNAcentral lists this ribosomal RNA (434 nucleotides) under uncultured bacterium. RNAcentral's name for it is "partial 16S ribosomal RNA". It matches the Rfam family "Bacterial small subunit ribosomal RNA", at positions 29 to 507 of the family's 1533-position model. The record is from RNAcentral.